Xenopus laevis (African clawed frog) is the source of this 4216-nucleotide long non-coding RNA. RefSeq lists it as uncharacterized. Lineage: Eukaryota; Metazoa; Chordata; Amphibia; Anura; Pipidae. The record is from RefSeq and is a predicted model, not a curated record. The transcript is spliced from 3 exons.
AAUUAUGGGGUCUACACCUAGUAAUAUAGAAACUAUAACAUUAAAAGUAGUGUACUGACUUUUAAGAGCAGAUUGUAAUGUUUUGGUUACCAAUUGGGGCAUAAUUAUCAAAGGUUGAAAAUACAGCUUGUCACAGUUCACCAAAGGCAAAUGUUACAACUCUCUAUUCACUGGAAAGGGAUUUACAGGUGUAUAUUUAUAGAUACUUUCUCUCCUACAAAGGUGAAUAGGGGGCUGUGAAAUAUCCAUCUGGUGAACUGUCACACUCUCUUUAUUUAUUUUAAACCAUUGUUAAAUAAGCCCCAAAGUAUAUCCUUCAUAUCUUUGGGACUGAUUUUCUACCCCAGGUACGUAACAGAGCAAGAAAUGUUAGAUUAAAUAUUGAAGCCAACAAUGAGAGAGUGCUAAAAUAUGAUAGAAAAAGCAUGACUAUGCUAAAAUGGAGCCAGAUGACUUUUGUAAGUAGACUGAUAAAACAGAAAUAACCACUCCCAUUCUACAUCUACUACAAGACCGUUAAUGCUAAGUCAGAGCAACAUUAUCUGCACAAACACAAAUUGGAGGGAUGUUAAAUGCUGUAGAUUGCAGUGAGUCACAUAUACUGUAGGUGUCAAUCCCCAGUGCAGGUGUUAUGCAUGUGCUCCAAGAAGUAGUCGACUCGAGUUUACUUCGAGUUUAGUUCUGAAGACAAUGAGGGAGGAUUCUCUUCUGAAAAAUUCAGGAAUAGCAUCCCAAAUAUAAGAAGCAGCAAGACAGAAGGGUUUGAUGCAGGAAACAAUAGUAGUCGGGGGUGCAACCAAGCGGUGGAGCGGAGGAUUCGGCCAGGAGCAUAUACAGAGACAACAGAUGAGAUGUAGUUAGGUGCAGAAGAGUAAAGGGAUUUGAAGGUUAUGAUGAGGAGUUCGAGUCUGUUGAAUCGAUGAAGGACUCGCUUCAAGCAGGUGUUCCUAUUCCAGAGCCUGAAACAUUAAGGGGCAGAUUAAUCAAGGGUCAAAUUUCGAAGUGGAAAAUACUUCAAAAUUCAACCAUCGAAUAGAAUCCUCCGGCAUUCGAAGUCGGAGGAUUUUAUUCAUCGUACGGUCGUAUACCUGAUCGUAGAACGAUCGUUCUUCGACUCCUACUAUUCGAACAAUUUCGAACAAUUUUCUGCAUACAUUAUCAUGGGAAGGCCCAUGUAUCAACAUUCUGAUUUUACAGGCUUUAGAAACCAUGAAAAAAAUAAAGAUUUUACAAUUGUAAAAGGACAAAUCCCCACGGACUUUUACAUGACCUUAAUAACUUUUAGAUAAUUAAGGUUCAUACUCGGGCCCAGACUGGCCAUGUGUCCAAUAAAGCACAUGUCUGGUGGGCCACUUUAUUUUUUUAAGUAAGCUGGGGAAGCCGGGAGCUGCCAGAAAGAGCCAAAGUGAAGCCGCCAAAUGAGAGCCGAAGCUGAAGCCGAUGAAUGGGAGCCAAAAUCGCUGAUUGGAAGCUAAAGCCAACAAAAGGAGCUGAAAGGGAAGCCUCACAGGAGAAUGAAGAGGCCAAGGAGGAAGAAGGCCACUUGCCAAAUUGUAAAGGCCACAGACAAACUUAUAACUUUGCACCCGUAUGUACUGGCAUCAUACGUAUGCACAGGACACAGCCAACAGUAUUAGCCAAUGACCACAACCAGUACACCCACAAAGAAGAUUCACAGGUGUAGUAUUCAUGUUAUUUUAUCCCUGAAUGGGAAAAACAUUUCCUUCCAUUACUGAUUUGCACUGUGUCCAAUUUAAACAAGUGUAAGUAUUGGGGUACUUGAAAUCAUUUGGUUAGCCUAACACUAGGCAAUAAUACAGGAUAAAGGAAUAUGACCACUUUACAAAUCAAGACACAUAUCUCCUAGCAUCAAUCUACUAUUUAAUUCUACUAAGGAUAAUAUUAAGUUACCUGUUUCUAGGCACUUCUUUGAUGAGGACAUAUUGAAAAUCACUAUAGGUUUAUGGCUUUUAUGUAUUUUCAUGACCAGAGGGGGUGAUAGGGAGUUGCUUCUUAGAAGACAUGAGGUAUGGUGGCCUGUUUGGCUUCCCAUGUCUCUAACAAGAUUAUAGGCAUAAUUUAGGUCCUAAGGGUGCAAAAGCACAAAUAGGAGCAAGAGUGUGUCCCUUAGUGCUCAUUUGAAAGCACUUGUACCUCCCUGCCUGCUGCACAGGGCCAUCAGGAGGGGACAGCUGUAUCAGGCCUGGUCCCUUUUAAGCUUUAAUGGGGGGCAAUCUGUGCUGCACUUCUUGGAUUAACUGGGCCUCCCUUGAGUUGCCGAAUAACAACUGAAAGUGGCUGCAUGGAGCCAAAAGCCGACAAAUGAAGCCAAAGCCACUGCUAAGGAAUGAGCGGUGAUAUCAUAUCCUAUUUCUGAAUAAUUUCUGAGAAAUCUUUAAAAAUCUGUGUAUCAUGCCCUUUGCCUGAUAAAGGAAAAGUAGUGGUCCAAUCCAUUACUGCUGGGGUUUUGAUAAUUAUAUAUUUCACCUGAUAUUACUGAGCACGUGUUGUGUUUAUAUAAGAAACAAAAAAUGAAUGGAGCAAAUGGUAGAACAUUUUUAUUUAGUUGAUGUUUCAGUCACUCAGUGGAAGACAGAUAUUGCAUAUUCAAAUACAUCCAGUACAAUUAAAAGGAGCUUCCAUCUUAAUAUUCGGAAAGGCUUUUUUACAGAUAGAGCUGUGAAGUUGUGGAGUUCUCUCCCUGAAUCAGUUGUACUGGCUGAUACAUUUGAUAGCUUCAAGAAGGGCUUGAAUGGCUUUUAAAGCAAGUGAGAAAAAAAUUUAUGGAACAAGCUUAGAGGAAAGUUGUUUCAGGGAUUGGUGUUUUUACUAAAAACUUCUGCCUGGCCCUUGCGGCAUCUGUAACAUGCAAAUAAAGUGUCUGGAUGGAGGAUACCUAUGUGCUUACCUAUCGUGUCCCAUAUGAAUUCAGUGGUGAUGUGCGACAGGGUACAAUCCUGCAAAAUGUAGUAUGUAUGGAUGCUAAUUAUCUAUUGUAAAACCACUGUAACACAAAUCUAAGGAACUAUACUGUCCGUGACAUAUAUUGCCUGUCUGUUCCCUAAUAAAUAGAUGAAUACAAAAAAAGAUAUGGUGUCUGUUUUCAACUUGAGCUACAAAUGGUUGUCCACUGUAAAAACAAAAAUUGUAUUGCCACUCCCCAUAGAUACCCCCAACUGAUGGGCACCUCCUAACAUUCUAAGCCCAGAGACACAGUAGGAUCCAGGGGUAGCCUAGACAACUACCAAGAACUGUUAACUUUAAAAACAACACUUCUAUUGGAGCUCCACAUUGAUAUUCACUUCUCAGUGUCUCUUAUAAUUCAGUGAUGGGCACCUCCUAACGGUCCCAGCCCAGAAGCACAGUUGGAUCCAGUGUAGCCAAUCACAGCUCUGCUGGAUAUGGGUAGCCAAUCACAGCUCAUUUGCCUUCACACAGAAAAAGAUAUAUUGCAGUUCCCUGUCAGGUCAACCUAAAGGCUGACUGCUGUACUGUAAGCCUUGUGUUCUCCUCUGCAGCCAGGGAAAAGCAGCAGCCAGCAGAGGGUGGAGAUGCUGGUUAGCUGGAUCUAGUGAGGUGUUGGGGGAAAUUUUCAUCAAAGCAGUUCAAAAUGCAACUUGUAAAGGCACGUUACUUGAAAAAUCCUCACUAAAAUUAGGGUUACUUUACUUCUACAUACAUAUUUAUUUUGUCCCAUCAGCUUAAGUUUUUGGGUUUGCCACAAGGGUAUAAAAAUCUUGAUUCAGGAGCCAUUGCAAUACAGUAGAAGAUGAUACUGUAACUAUAGAGAUGCUAUGAGAUAUGCAAAGAAAUAAAUAAGUGUUAGUAUCCACUGAUCACCCUUCCUUUGCUUAAUUUGUCUCUUAGCAUGUAUCUAUGUUAUCUAAUAUAUUUUCCACAUACUGUAUAGUAGGGUACACAUUUGCCAUAUUAAAUGCCAGUGGGUAUCAAUAGUUGCAUUAAGCUAGAAAGGAGAGCUUGCCGUCCCUAGUGUCCUGGCAUUUUUGUAUAAUUAGUAUUAUAGUGUACAGCAGUAUGAACAGCCGUAUCAAAUAGUAUAUUGUUUAACCAAACAUUCAACAGUGAUACUCACCUACUACAGCCAACUUGGACUGGCCCCCCAGGUCACCAGUAACACUCCUGCUGGGCUACAGCCACAACCAUGUAGCUUUCUAUACCUACCAUAUCAUUCCUACCCCAACAUGGCCAUUCCACA